RNAcentral lists this long non-coding RNA (319 nucleotides) under Mytilus galloprovincialis (Mediterranean mussel). Lineage: Eukaryota; Metazoa; Mollusca; Bivalvia; Mytilida; Mytilidae. The record is from RNAcentral.
GCGUUUACUUUUCUACAUUGGCUUGAGGUAUAGGGGGAGGGUUGAGAUCUCACUAACAUGUUUAACCCCGCCGCAUUUUUGCGCCUGUCCCAAGUCAGGAGCCUCUGGCCUUUGUUAGUCUUGUAUUAUUUUAAUUUUAGUUUCUUGUGUACAAUUUGGAAAUUAGUAUGGCGUUCAUUAUCACUGAACUAGUAGAUAUUUGUUUAGGGGCCAGUUGAAGGACGCCUCUGGGUGCAGGAAUUUCUCGUUACAUUGAAGACCUGUUGGUGACCUUCUGCUGUUGUUUUUUUCUAUGGUCGGGUUGUUGUCUCUUUGACAC